GCCAGGUUAGCUCAGUUGGUAGAGCAUGAGACUCCACUUCUCAGGGUCGUGGGUUUGAAUCCCACUCCAGGUGGCA
Non-coding RNA from Toxotes jaculatrix (banded archerfish), 76 nucleotides. The record is from the annotation of a RefSeq genome assembly. NCBI's taxonomy places the organism in Eukaryota, Metazoa, Chordata, Actinopteri, Toxotidae.